Molecule: ribosomal RNA, 254 nt
Filed under: uncultured bacterium
Lineage: Bacteria
Description: partial 16S ribosomal RNA
Rfam family: Bacterial small subunit ribosomal RNA
Source: RNAcentral
GACGGAGGGUGCUAGCGUUGUUCGGAAUUAUUGGGCGUAAAGGGCGCGUAGGCGGCCUGUGCAAGUCAGUUGUGAAAUCUCCGAGCUUAACUCGGAACGGUCAACUGAUACUGCUCGGCUAGAGUGCGGAAGGGGCAACUGGAAUUCUUGGUGUAGCGGUGAAAUGCGUAGAUAUCAAGAGGAACACCUGCGGCGAAGGCGGGUUGCUGGGCUGACACUGACGUGAGGCGCGAAAGCCAGGGGAGCGAACGGGG